AUUCCUUGUUGCAGGCACUUCCUUAACAAUUCCUUAUAUCUUUCCCAUGACUCAUACAGGAUUUUGGACUCCAUUUGUCGGAAAGAAGAGAUGUCAUUUCUAAGCUU
Small nucleolar RNA from Dioscorea cayenensis subsp. rotundata (Guinea yam), 107 nucleotides. The record is from RefSeq and is a predicted model, not a curated record. NCBI's taxonomy places the organism in Eukaryota, Viridiplantae, Streptophyta, Magnoliopsida, Dioscoreales, Dioscoreaceae.